This 998-nucleotide ribosomal RNA is filed under the name Microbacterium sp. Its description in RNAcentral is "bacterial SSU rRNA". It matches the Rfam family "Bacterial small subunit ribosomal RNA", at positions 60 to 1070 of the family's 1533-position model. The record is from RNAcentral. Lineage: Bacteria; Bacillati; Actinomycetota; Actinomycetes; Micrococcales; Microbacteriaceae.
AGUCGAACGGUGAAGGAGAGCUUGCUCUUUGGAUCAGUGGCGAACGGGUGAGUAACACGUGAGCAAUCUGCCCCUGACUCUGGGAUAACAGUUGGAAACAGCUGCUAAUACCGGAUACGAGACGUGACCGCAUGGUCGACGUUUGGAAAGAAUUUCGGUCAGGGAUGAGCUCGCGGCCUAUCAGCUUGUUGGUGAGGUAAUGGCUCACCAAGGCGUCGACGGGUAGCCGGCCUGAGAGGGUGACCGGCCACACUGGGACUGAGACACGGCCCAGACUCCUACGGGAGGCAGCAGUGGGGAAUAUUGCACAAUGGGCGAAAGCCUGAUGCAGCAACGCCGCGUGAGGGACGACGGCCUUCGGGUUGUAAACCUCUUUUAGCAGGGAAGAAGCGAAAGUGACGGUACCUGCAGAAAAAGCGCCGGCUAACUACGUGCCAGCAGCCGCGGUAAUACGUAGGGCGCAAGCGUUAUCCGGAAUUAUUGGGCGUAAAGAGCUCGUAGGCGGUUUGUCGCGUCUGCUGUGAAAACUGGAGGCUCAACCUCCAGCCUGCAGUGGGUACGGGCAGACUAGAGUGCGGUAGGGGAGAUUGGAAUUCCUGGUGUAGCGGUGGAAUGCGCAGAUAUCAGGAGGAACACCGAUGGCGAAGGCAGAUCUCUGGGCCGUAACUGACGCUGAGGAGCGAAAGGGUGGGGAGCAAACAGGCUUAGAUACCCUGGUAGUCCACCCCGUAAACGUUGGGAACUAGUUGUGGGGUCCAUUCCACGGAUUCCGUGACGCAGCUAACGCAUUAAGUUCCCCGCCUGGGGAGUACGGCCGCAAGGCUAAAACUCAAAGGAAUUGACGGGGACCCGCACAAGCGGCGGAGCAUGCGGAUUAAUUCGAUGCAACGCGAAGAACCUUACCAAGGCUUGACAUAUACGAGAACGGGCUAGAAAUAGUCAACUCUUUGGACACUCGUAAACAGGUGGUGCAUGGUUGUCGUCAGCUCGUGUCGUGA